ACAGUGUUACCUCCGUCCUAAAAAGCUUGUCUUAGAUUUGUCUAAAUAUGGAUGUAUCUAACACUAAAACGUGUCUAGAUACGGAUAUCUAGACAAAUGUAAGACAAGCUUUUUGGGACGGAGACUAUUUA
Non-coding RNA from Triticum aestivum (bread wheat), 131 nucleotides. Lineage: Eukaryota; Viridiplantae; Streptophyta; Magnoliopsida; Poales; Poaceae. The record is from Rfam.